ACGUAUCAGAAGUGCGAAUGCUGACAUGAGUAACGAUAAUGGGGGUGAAAAACCCCCACGCCGGAAGACCAAGGGUUCCUGCGCAACGCUAAUCGGCGCAGGGUGAGUCGGCCCCUAAGGCGAGGCUGAGAAGCGUAGUCGAUGGGAAACAGGUUAAUAUUCCUGUACUUGUUUAUAUUGCGAUGGGGAGACGGAGAAAGCUAGGCCAGCAUGGCGAUGGUUGUCCAUGUUUAAGGUAGUAGGCUGAGCGUUUAGGCAAAUCCGGACGCUUAAGGCUGAGAACUGAUGACGAGAUUCUUUUUAAGAAUUGAAGUGGUCGAUGCUCUGCUUCCAGGAAAAUCCUCUAAGCUUCAGAUAUAAACGAACCGUACCCCAAACCGACACAGGAA
RNAcentral lists this ribosomal RNA (389 nucleotides) under Pseudo-nitzschia fraudulenta. RNAcentral describes it as "partial Bacterial large subunit ribosomal RNA". It matches the Rfam family "Bacterial large subunit ribosomal RNA", at positions 1277 to 1665 of the family's 2925-position model. Lineage: Eukaryota; Bacillariophyta; Bacillariophyceae; Bacillariales; Bacillariaceae. The record is from RNAcentral.